GGCGAACGCUGGCGGCGUGCCUAAUACAUGCAAGUCGAGCGGACGGAUGGGAGCUUGCUCCCAGACCGUCAGCGGCGGACGGGUGAGUAACACGUGGGCAACCUGCCUGUAAGACUGGGAUAACUCCGGGAAACCGGGGCUAAUACCGGAUAACUCUUUCCCUCACAUGAGGGAAAGCUGAAAGAUGGCAUCUCGCUAUCACUUACAGAUGGGCCCGCGGCGCAUUAGCUAGUUGGUGAGGUAACGGCUCACCAAGGCGACGAUGCGUAGCCGACCUGAGAGGGUGAUCGGCCACACUGGGACUGAGACACGGCCCAGACUCCUACGGGAGGCAGCAGUAGGGAAUCUUCCGCAAUGGACGAAAGUCUGACGGAGCAACGCCGCGUGAGUGAUGAAGGUUUUCGGAUCGUAAAACUCUGUUGUCAGGGAAGAACAAGUACCGGAGUAACUGCCGGUACCUUGACGGUACCUGACCAGAAAGCCACGGCUAACUACGUG
RNAcentral lists this ribosomal RNA (498 nucleotides) under uncultured bacterium. RNAcentral's name for it is "partial 16S ribosomal RNA". It matches the Rfam family "Bacterial small subunit ribosomal RNA", at positions 28 to 507 of the family's 1533-position model. The record is from RNAcentral.